This 435-nucleotide ribosomal RNA is filed under the name uncultured Lachnospiraceae bacterium. RNAcentral's name for it is "partial 16S ribosomal RNA". It matches the Rfam family "Bacterial small subunit ribosomal RNA", at positions 341 to 792 of the family's 1533-position model. The record is from RNAcentral. Lineage: Bacteria; Bacillati; Bacillota; Clostridia; Lachnospirales; Lachnospiraceae.
ACGGGAGGCAGCAGUGGGGAAUAUUGCACAAUGGGGGGAACCCUGAUGCAGCGACGCCGCGUGAGCGAAGAAGUAUUUCGGUAUGUAAAGCUCUAUCAGCAGGGAAGAAACAGGACGGUACCUGCACAAGAAGCCCCGGCUAACUACGUGCCAGCAGCCGCGGUAAUACGUAGGGGGCGAGCGUUAUCCGGAUUUACUGGGUGUAAAGGGAGCGUAGACGGCUGUGCAAGUCUGGAGUGAAACUCCGGGGCCCAACCCCGGAACUGCUCUGGAAACUGUGUGGCUCGAGUACCGGAGGGGCAGGCGGAACUCCUAGUGUAGCGGUGAAAUGCGUAGAUAUUAGGAAGAACACCGGCGGCGAAGGCGGCCUGCUGGACGGUAACUGACGUUGAGGCUCGAAAGCGUGGGGAGCAAACAGGAUUAGAUACCCUGGUA